GUGCCAGCAGCCGCGGUAAUACGUAGGGCGCGAGCGUUGUCCGGAAUUAUUGGGCGUAAAGAGCUCGUAGGCGGCUUGUCGCGUCUGCUGUGAAAACGCGGGGCUUAACUCCGCGCGUGCAGUGGGUACGGGCAGGCUAGAGUGUGGUAGGGGUGAUUGGAAUUCCUGGUGUAGCGGUGGAAUGCGCAGAUAUCAGGAGGAACACCGAUGGCGAAGGCAGCCAUCUGGCCUAAUACUGACGCUGAGGUACGAAAGCAUGGGGAGCAAACAGGAUUAGAUACCCUGGUAGUCCACGCCGUAAACGGUGGGUACUAGGUGUGGGGUCCAUUUCACGGAUUCUGUGCCGUAGCUAACGCAUUAAGUACCCCGCCUGGGGAGUACGGCCGCAAGGUUAAAACUCAAAGGAAUUGACGGGGACCCGCACAAGCGGCGGAGCAUGCGGAUUAAUUCGAUGCAACGCGAAGAACCUUACCAAGGCUUGACAUAUACCGGAAACGGCUGGAAACAGUCGCCCCCUUGUGGUCGGUAUACAGGUGGUGCAUGGUUGUCGUCAGCUCGUGUCGUGAGAUGUUGGGUUAAGUCCCGCAACGAGCGCAACCCUCGUUCUAUGUUGCCAGCACGUUAUGGUGGGAACUCAUGGAAUACUGCCGGGGUCAACUCGGAGGAAGGUGGGGAUGACGUCAAAUCAUCAUGCCCCUUAUGUCUUGGGCUUCACGCAUGCUACAAUGGCCGGUACAAAGGGCUGCGAUACCGUAAGGUGAGCGAAUCCCAAAAAGCCGGUCCCAGUUCGGAUUGAGGUCUGCAACUCGACCUCAUGAAGUCGGAGUCGCUAGUAAUCGCAGAUCAGCAACGCUGCGGUGAAUACGUUCCCGGGUCUUGUACACACCGCCCG
This 892-nucleotide ribosomal RNA is filed under the name uncultured bacterium. RNAcentral describes it as "bacterial SSU rRNA". It matches the Rfam family "Bacterial small subunit ribosomal RNA", at positions 505 to 1396 of the family's 1533-position model. The record is from RNAcentral.